RNAcentral lists this ribosomal RNA (488 nucleotides) under uncultured Flexibacteraceae bacterium. Its description in RNAcentral is "bacterial SSU rRNA". It matches the Rfam family "Bacterial small subunit ribosomal RNA", at positions 30 to 514 of the family's 1533-position model. The record is from RNAcentral. Lineage: Bacteria; Pseudomonadati; Bacteroidota; Cytophagia; Cytophagales; Cytophagaceae.
UGAACGCUAGCGGCAGGCCUAAUACAUGCAAGUCGAGCGGCAAGUUAGGUAGUAAUACUUGACCUAGAGCGGCGCACGGGUGCGUAACGCGUAUGCAACCUACCUUUUACUGGGGGAUAGCCCGGAGAAAUCUGGAUUAAUACCCCAUAGUACCUAAGGAUCGAUUGGUUUUUAGUUUAAAGAUUUAUCGGUAAAAGAUGGGCAUGCGUCUGAUUAGAUAGUUGGCGGGGUAACGGCCCACCAAGUCUACGAUCAAUAGCUGAUGUGAGAGCAUGAUCAGCCACACGGGCACUGAGACACGGGCCCGACUCCUACGGGAGGCAGCAGUAAGGAAUAUUGGGCAAUGGACGCAAGUCUGACCCAGCCAUGCCGCGUGAAGGAUGAAGGUCCUCUGGAUUGUAAACUCUUUUAUCUGGGGCGAAAACAACUCUUUCUAGAGUUCUUGACAGUACCAGAGGAAUAAGCACCGGCUAACUCCGUGCCAGCAG